This 655-nucleotide unclassified non-coding RNA is filed under the name Ptelea trifoliata. Its description in RNAcentral is "partial contains internal transcribed spacer 1, 5.8S ribosomal RNA, and internal transcribed spacer 2". The stretch from base 266 to 421 matches the Rfam family "5.8S ribosomal RNA". The record is from RNAcentral. Lineage: Eukaryota; Viridiplantae; Streptophyta; Magnoliopsida; Sapindales; Rutaceae.
GUGACCUGCGGAGGAUCAUUGUCGAAACUCGUAGAGCAGAAUGACCCGUGAACUCGUAGAAAAACAACAUUGGCUGGAGGCACGCACUCUUUGUGGUGCUCCUCCCUCUUUCACCGUCGGUGUGGGAUUCUUCCUUCUCCCUGCGGUGAACAACGAACCCCCGGCACGGACUGUGCCAAGGAAAUAUAACGAGAGAGAAGUAUCUUGGGGCCCCGAAAACGGUGUGCCUUGGGAUGUUGUGCCCCUCUUUCAAUUUAUCUUUAACGACUCUCGGCAACGGAUAUCUCGGCUCUCGCAUCGAUGAAGAACGUAGCGAAAUGCGAUACUUGGUGUGAAUUGCAGAAUCCCGUGAACCAUCGAGUCUUUGAACGCAAGUUGCGCCCAAAGCUGUUAGGCCGAGGGCACGUCUGCCUGGGUGUCACGCAUCGUUGCCCAGCCACCUCGACCCCUUGGGGGACCGGUGGUGUGGGCGGAGAGUGGCCUCCCGUGUGCUCCUUGCUUGCGGUUGGCCCAAAUUUGAGUCCUCGGCGAUUGAGGCCGCGACAAUCGGUGGUGAAAACAAACCUCUCGAACUCUUGUUGCGUGCCUUGGUCCUCUGGUUUGGGACUCAAGGACCCUGUUGCCCCGCGCAAGCGGUGCUCGCUUGCGACCCCAG